AAGAAAUUUAAUUCGAUGCAUCUCUCUGGUGGCAACAUCGCAUACUGCUCCACGACGAUCCAUUUCUAUUCGAUUGACAAAAAUGUGAACUAAAUAUUUUACAAAAACGAUUUCUAACAGAUUAUAGCAAUAUUUAUGGGAAUUAGUUUGUUACAGCAUUUCCGCUCAUUUGCGCAAACAAUCGUUGUUCGCGUAAUGUUUCUAGGUUGAUUUAAACGAAAUUAUUAUUGAUGACAGCAAUAUGAUGGUAAUUGAAGAGAAACUUGUGCUAAGCACCUAUUUCUUUUUUUAUGCCAAGGAACGUUUUAUUAUCUGACCGGCUUCAAAUUUCGCUUGCUUUUAAAAUAAUCGAUAGUUCAUCGAUUGUUUCUUGUGACCAUGAAGUACAGAGAAUAGGAAGCCGAACUUAUAUGGAUGAGGCCGUCGAAAAGUGAGGUCAAAAGUGGUCAUCUGAAUUAGUUCAAUCGAAAGGUGACAGACAUCGUUCUCACAAUUUGCAUGGGACUCCGCACAAUAAAAGACAGAGAGAACAGAGAA
Long non-coding RNA from Acromyrmex echinatior (Panamanian leafcutter ant), 537 nucleotides. The record is from RefSeq and is a predicted model, not a curated record. Lineage: Eukaryota; Metazoa; Arthropoda; Insecta; Hymenoptera; Formicidae.